GAUAGUCCCUUACUACUUGGAUAACCGUGGUAAUUCUAGAGCUAAAUACAUGCUGAAAACCUCGACUUCGGAAGGGGUGUAUUUAUUAGAUAAAAAACCAACGCCCUUCGGGGCUUUUUGGUGAUUCAUGAUAACUUUUCGGAUCGCAUGGCCUUGCGCCGGCGACGGUUCAUUCAAAUUUCUGCCCUAUCAACUUUCGAUGGUAAGGUAUUGGCUUACCAUGGUUUCAACGGGUAACGGGGAAUUAGGGUUCGAUUCCGGAGAGGGAGCCUGAGAAACGGCUACCACAUCCAAGGAAGGCAGCAGGCGCGCAAAUUACCCAAUCCCGAUACGGGGAGGUAGUGACAAUAAAUACUGAUACAGGGCUCUUUUGGGUCUUGUAAUUGGAAUGAGUACAAUUUAAACCUCUUAACGAGGAACAAUUGGAGGGCAAGUCUGGUGCCAGCAGCCGCGGUAAUUCCAGCUCCAAUAGCGUAUAUUAAAGUUGUUGCAGUUAAAAAGCUCGUAGUUGAAACUUGGGUCUGGCUGGCAGGUCCGCCUCACCGCGUGUACUUGUCCGGCCGGGCCUUCCUUCUGGAGAACCUCAUGCCCUUCACUGGGCGUGUUGGGGACCAGGACUUUUACUUUGAAAAAAUUAGAGUGUUCAAAGCAGGCCUUUGCUCGAAUACGUUAGCAUGGAAUAAUAGAAUAGGACGUGCGGUCCUAUUUUGUUGGUUUCUAGGACCGCCGUAAUGAUUAAUAGGGACAGUCGGGGGCAUCAGUAUUCAAUUGUCAGAGGUGAAAUUCUUGGAUUUAUUGAAGACUAACUACUGCGAAAGCAUUUGCCAAGGAUGUUUUCAUUAAUCAGUGAACGAAAGUUAGGGGAUCGAAGACGAUCAGAUACCGUCGUAGUCUUAACCGUAAACUAUGCCGACUAGGGAUCGGGCGCUGUUCUUUUUCUGACGCGCUCGGCACCUUACGAGAAAUCAAAGUUUUUGGGUUCUGGGGGGAA
Molecule: ribosomal RNA, 991 nt
Filed under: Megacoelomyces sancheziae
Lineage: Eukaryota; Fungi; Ascomycota; Dothideomycetes; Pleosporales; Phaeosphaeriaceae
Description: SSU rRNA
Rfam family: Eukaryotic small subunit ribosomal RNA
Source: RNAcentral